GAUGAACGCUGGCGGCGUGCCUAAUACAUGCAAGUCGAGCGAACAGAUGAGGAGCUUGCUCCUCUGACGUUAGCGGCGGACGGGUGAGUAACACGUGGAUAACCUACCUAUAAGACUGGGAUAACUUCGGGAAACCGGAGCUAAUACCGGAUAAUAUAUUGAACCGCAUGGUUCAAUAGUGAAAGACGGUUUUGCUGUCACUUAUAGAUGGAUCCGCGCCGCAUUAGCUAGUUGGUAAGGUAACGGCUUACCAAGGCAACGAUGCGUAGCCGACCUGAGAGGGUGAUCGGCCACACUGGAACUGAGACACGGUCCAGACUCCUACGGGAGGCAGCAGUAGGGAAUCUUCCGCAAUGGGCGAAGGCCUGACGGAGCAACGCCGCGUGAGUGAUGAAGGUCUUCGGAUCGUAAAACUCUGUUAUUAGGGAAGAACAAAUGUGUAAGUAACUAUGCACGUCUUGACGGUGCCUAAUCAGAAAGCCACGGCUAACUACGUG
Molecule: ribosomal RNA, 497 nt
Filed under: uncultured bacterium
Lineage: Bacteria
Description: partial 16S ribosomal RNA
Rfam family: Bacterial small subunit ribosomal RNA
Source: RNAcentral